Molecule: long non-coding RNA, 828 nt
Organism: Oncorhynchus tshawytscha (Chinook salmon)
Lineage: Eukaryota; Metazoa; Chordata; Actinopteri; Salmoniformes; Salmonidae
Source: Ensembl
AUCAAGUCUGAGAGGGCCUGACUUAGUCUGAAAAUGUGCCCUCUACGCAACAGGAAGCUCUAUUCAUCCAUCGGAACCUUCUAUUGAAAAGGCCUGUAUGGCAGAUAGUCUGACACGUGAAAGAGUGAUCUAUGCAUGAAGUAUGCACGUCUACAAAUCAGAAAUGUGGUAUGCAGUGCACUCCUCCCUCAUCACGGCUCUCUAGUGUUCCCUCUCCCAGUCAGAACAACCCAGACGGGCUCUACUCCUCUUAUCAGAUGGAGCCAGGCAGGCAGGACAGGACGGGGCCAGUGUGGAUCCAGCUGCUCCCAGGAGCAGGGCGCAGUCCCACUUAAUAGGUCUUCCCGGCAUCCCAGGCCUCGCCCCACUGGCAUCCCAGUCACAGCCAGGCAGGCUACUCCGUGGGUGGCACGCCUUGGAAACAGGCGGCAGAGACAGAGGAGGUGGGUACGGGGGAGACUGGUAAAGACAACCCAGUCCGCCUGGUGUUCCAGAGAACUUUGCCGUUAGACCAAUUGCUUCCCGAGGACCAGUAAAAAGCAAUGGCUCCGACAUGGAGUCCCAUGACGCAUCAUGCUGAAUCUGAUCAGAACAUAUUGAGAGUUCAAAUGACACUUGCUUGAAUAUGCAGCUUGAGCUACAUCGAAAUGUUGUCAACGUUGAGCGAGUUUCUGUUUUCAUAUUGGUGGUGCUACCUGCUUAGAAGGCCGGUCAGGGUCUUGGUGUUCUAAAUCAUCCUAAUUGAUGGGUGUCGGAUGUGUUAGUAUUAUCAUAGGUGCUCUGAGAUUUGUCUCCAAAUAAAUAAAGCUUUAAUUUAUAAGCAUGGAC